CAUGAACUUGUUCAAAAGAAAAAGAAAGUAGUCAAGCUGUCAGUAAGAUUUUGCAAAAACAAUGGUGGUUAUCCUUGGAGGAAGAGGAGAACCUGGAUGAGCUCUGGAAUGUCCCUGGCAAAGGCAUGAGCUUCGUCAGAUUCUGCCACCAGGUUCCAGAUGCUAUCAUGAUGCCAACUUGACUUCCCUGGGCAGAUUACCCCAGCAAUGUGUCCUGGACCACUGCUUCCCAGAGCCCUGCCUGACUAUGGAAUGAGAGAGACAGGCUGGAAGUAUGGAUUGACCAGCCAAUCCAUCCCAUGUUCAGCAGAGAACUAUAUAAGCCAGACUUUCUACCUUCAGCACCCCACAAUGAUCCUAUCCUGGGUCCAUACUCCUGGAGUAAUAAAGAAUAGGAAUGCUAUCAAGGGAGGGGAUAGAAUAUGGAGUUCUGGUGGUGGGAAUGGGUGGAAUUGUACCCCUAUUAUCCUAUGGUCUUGUCAAUAUUUCCAUUUUAUAAAUAAAAUAAAAAAUAAAAAGGAAUUGGUCUUGGUCCAGUCUUAAUGGAAAACAAUCUGAAUAUUUCUCAGAACAGUAAAAAUGAACCUACCUUAU
Long non-coding RNA from Erinaceus europaeus (western European hedgehog), 594 nucleotides. RefSeq lists it as uncharacterized. The transcript is spliced from 3 exons. Lineage: Eukaryota; Metazoa; Chordata; Mammalia; Eulipotyphla; Erinaceidae. The record is from RefSeq and is a predicted model, not a curated record.